CCUACGGGGGGCUGCAGUUAGGAAUCUUCCACAAUGGGCGAAAGCCUGAUGGAGCGACACUGCGUGAGGGAUGAAGGUCUUCGGAUUGUAAACCUCUAAAACGGGGACGAUGAUGACGGUACCCGUUGAGAAGCACCGGCUAACUCCGUGCCAGCAGCCGCGGUAAUACGGAGGGUGCAAGCGUUAUCCGGAAUCACUGGGCGUAAAGGGCGCGUAGGCGGUCUGUUAAGUCCGAUGUUAAAGACCGGGGCUCAACCCCGGUAGGGCGUUGGAUACUGGCAGGCUGGACGGCUGGAGAGGCGAGUGGAAUUACCAGUGUAGCGGUGGAAUGCGUAGAUACUGGUAGGAACACCUAUGGCGAAGGCAGCUCGCUGGACAGCACGUGACGCUGAGGCGCGAAAGUGUGGGGAGCAAACCGGAUUAGAUACCCGGGUAGUC
RNAcentral lists this ribosomal RNA (438 nucleotides) under uncultured bacterium. RNAcentral describes it as "bacterial SSU rRNA". It matches the Rfam family "Bacterial small subunit ribosomal RNA", at positions 338 to 795 of the family's 1533-position model. The record is from RNAcentral.